RNAcentral lists this long non-coding RNA (230 nucleotides) under Ananas comosus (pineapple). Its description in RNAcentral is "long non-coding RNA (ACOM_LNC006875)". The record is from RNAcentral. Lineage: Eukaryota; Viridiplantae; Streptophyta; Magnoliopsida; Poales; Bromeliaceae.
GGGGCCCAUAUCAUCCUAACCGUAUAUUUUUUCAUCCAAUGACCGAAACCUAUUAGCAUCAAUAGCUUGGUACUAUUAAUAGUAUUCGCUAUAAGCAGUAUUUAGAGGCCAUCGGCCCUAAAUCUAAAUAAAUUUUUAUGGACUUCAAAUUAGAAGCAUUGUCACGCCCCGAAUUACUACGUUUUUCCGGGCACGCUAAUAGACCCGCCGUAUAUAUAGAAAUUUUUCGU